CCUGGCGGCACUAGCGCGGUGGUCCCACCUGACCCCAUGCCGAACUCAGAAGUGAAACGCCGUAGCGCGGUAGUUCAGUUGGUUAGAAUACCUGCCUGUCACGCAGGGGGUCGCGGGUU
Molecule: ribosomal RNA, 119 nt
Filed under: Salmonella enterica subsp. enterica serovar Newport
Lineage: Bacteria; Pseudomonadati; Pseudomonadota; Gammaproteobacteria; Enterobacterales; Enterobacteriaceae
Source: RNAcentral